GGGCGGGGGAGGAGAGAUGCUGGCGAGGCUGAGAGAGGGACGUAAAUAGAAGGUGCCAUCUGUGAACCAGGAAGUGUGCUCUCACCAGACACAGUCUGCUGGCACCUUGAUCUUGGACUUCCAGCCUCCAGAACUGUGGAAGGAGAAUAGCUUGUGAGAGUGUACGAGGGGAAUGAAGGGGUCAGAUGAGAGAGCACUGCGGAGAUGGAGAGAGGCAGAGAACUUGAUGCAUAUUUUGGAGGCAAAAUCAACAAGAUUGGCUGAUGGAUUAGAAGCAGAAGAUUUUGCCAUAGAGAAAUCUCUUGCUUUUUAAUCUUUCCAAUAUGUGAACCAACCAACCAGUCUACCAACCAGCCAACCAACCAACUACUCCACCAGUCAACUAACUCCUCCCACAGACAAAGAUUGGAGAAUGCUUCAAUCUGGUACAGAGACCAAAGCAAAGUAAUACUGUAUCAUGUACAGAUCUCAACUCUGUGAAGACAGUCCCUCAUGCUGUAGGAAGUCAGCCUUGAAUAUCUAGGCUUAGGGGAGGCUGAGGAAGGUCACCACAGGAGAAGUAAGUGGUUGGGGGCAGAUCAGGAUGCAGGGCUCUCAUUUCUCAUGGAGAGAUUUUGCUUUUUUAAAACGUCAGACCUACUGGUGUUUGCACUCAGUUUUCUUUCUUACAAAAAUCAACUCUAUUGAAGUGUACUGCCCAAUCAAGAUAUAGAACAUUUUCAUCACCCUAGAAAACUUCCUUGUGCCCCAAAUCCCAUCACUGAUGUGAUUUCUAUCACUAUAGCUGAGUUUUGUCUAUCCUAGAACUUUACAUAAAUUGUCCUUUUCUUUUGACUUUGUUUAUGUAGUUUUUUUCUCAUGUGGAAGAAAAAUAAUUAUUGCAGUUUUAUGGUUUUUAAAAAAUAUUCAAAUCGGAUUCAUCUGACAUUUAUUUUGGUGUAGUGUGUGAAAGGCACAGAUCUAAUCUCAUUUGUUUUCUCCCAGAGAGCUACCUGGUUGUUUCAACGUCAUUUAUUGAUAAAUGUAUCUUUUAUCUCACUAGUUUAAAUGCCACCUUUAUCAUAUAUUAAAUUCCCAAGUGUGCUCGGGUAUAUUUCUGGACCCUCCUUUCUUUUCCUUUGAUGUGUUUAUUCAUGUCUCAAUACAAUACUCUUUUA
Molecule: non-coding RNA, 1157 nt
Organism: Macaca mulatta (Rhesus monkey)
Lineage: Eukaryota; Metazoa; Chordata; Mammalia; Primates; Cercopithecidae
Source: RefSeq, a predicted model, not a curated record